This 563-nucleotide ribosomal RNA is filed under the name Micromonospora sp. 340D05. Its description in RNAcentral is "bacterial SSU rRNA". It matches the Rfam family "Bacterial small subunit ribosomal RNA", at positions 93 to 670 of the family's 1533-position model. Lineage: Bacteria; Bacillati; Actinomycetota; Actinomycetes; Micromonosporales; Micromonosporaceae. The record is from RNAcentral.
GAGCGGCGAACGGGUGAGUAACACGUGAGUNACCUGCCCUGGACUUUGGGAUAACCCUCGGAAACGGGGGCUAAUACCGGAUACGACUCGCUGAUCGCAUGGNUGGNGGUGGAAAGUUUUUCGGUCUGGGAUGGGCUCGCGGCCUAUCAGCUUGUUGGUGGGGUGAUGGCCUACCAAGGCGACGACGGGUAGCCGGCCUGAGAGGGCGACCGGCCACACUGGGACUGAGACACGGCCCAGACUCCUACGGGAGGCAGCAGUGGGGAAUAUUGCACAAUGGGCGGAAGCCUGAUGCAGCGACGCCGCGUGAGGGAUGACGGCCUUCGGGUUGUAAACCUCUUUCAGCAGGGACGAAGCGAGAGUGACGGUACCUGCAGAAGAAGCGCCGGCCAACUACGUGCCAGCAGCCGCGGUAAGACGUAGGGCGCGAGCGUUGUCCGGAUUUAUUGGGCGUAAAGAGCUCGUAGGCGGCUUGUCGNGUCGUCCGUGAAAACUUGGGGCUCAACCCCAAGCUUGCGGUCGAUACGGGCAGGCUAGAGUUCGGUAGGGGAGACUGGAUUCCU